CCCUAUUUGUAAACAACCAGCCCUUUAACUCGGGGCUGCGUUAUAAACACGGAGCGCUUGGAAGACCACGAUGUCAUCUUCCUUCUGUCAGGAGGAUCAAAGUGAAGCUACAGGAGUUUCAUUAACGUCAACAACUUGGACCGAACAGUUUGUUUUGCUUGAUGAAGAGCAGGAAGGGAAGCCUGGAGAGAAAGAGAAGCCGGGUUGAGCCCACUAACAUCAUCCACGUACCACGAGGAAGAUGAGGGAGAGAAAUGAUCCUACCAUUAAAGAGACUGUGAAAAGAACGUUGAGAACAUCACCACUCUACAGGAAGACACAGUCCAGUAAUGGGUGUCAGAAGUUCAGUAGUGAACGACAGAAACAAACAAUCCAAAUUACCUGCAGAACACCCUUGAUGGACGCUUCAGCUGCAUCGUCAGACUGGCCAGACAGCAAGAUGCCAACUUUAAUGCCAAUUUAUUUGUGUAACAUUCUGUGACCAAAUGUAUAGAUAACUUUUUGUAGAUUGUAAAAAUAGAUAACCCAUUUAUUACAAAAAAACUACACUAGAA
Pleuronectes platessa (European plaice) is the source of this 554-nucleotide long non-coding RNA. RefSeq lists it as uncharacterized. The transcript is spliced from 4 exons. The record is from RefSeq and is a predicted model, not a curated record. Lineage: Eukaryota; Metazoa; Chordata; Actinopteri; Pleuronectiformes; Pleuronectidae.